RNAcentral lists this ribosomal RNA (532 nucleotides) under Streptococcus sp. W4. RNAcentral describes it as "bacterial SSU rRNA". It matches the Rfam family "Bacterial small subunit ribosomal RNA", at positions 8 to 524 of the family's 1533-position model. Lineage: Bacteria; Bacillati; Bacillota; Bacilli; Lactobacillales; Streptococcaceae. The record is from RNAcentral.
AGAGUUUGAUCCUGGCUCAGGACGAACGCUGGCGGCGUGCCUAAUACAUGCAAGUAGAACGCUGAAGACUUUAGCUUGCUAAAGUUGGAAGAGUUGCGAACGGGUGAGUAACGCGUAGGGAACCUGCCUACUAGCGGGGGAUAACUAUUGGAAACGAUAGCUAAUACCGCAUAACAGCAUUUAACACAUGUUAGAUGCUUGAAAGGAGCAAUUGCUUCACUAGUAGAUGGACCUGCGUUGUAUUAGCUAGUUGGUGAGGUAACGGCUCACCAAGGCGACGAUACAUAGCCGACCUGAGAGGGUGAUCGGCCACACUGGGACUGAGACACGGCCCAGACUCUACGGGAGGCAGCAGUAGGGAAUCUUCGGCAAUGGGGGCAACCCUGACCGAGCAAACGCCGCGUGAGUGAAGAAGGUUUUCGGAUCGUAAAGCUCUGUUGUAAGAGAAGAACGUGUGUGAGAGUGGAAAGUUCACACAGUGACGGUAACUUACCAGAAAGGGACGGCUAAUACGUGCCAGCACCGCGGUAAU